RNAcentral lists this ribosomal RNA (253 nucleotides) under uncultured bacterium. RNAcentral's name for it is "partial 16S ribosomal RNA". It matches the Rfam family "Bacterial small subunit ribosomal RNA", at positions 524 to 776 of the family's 1533-position model. The record is from RNAcentral.
UACAGAGGGUGCGAGCGUUAAUCGGAAUUACUGGGCGUAAAGCGCACGUAGGUGGCUACGUAAGUCGGGUGUGAAAGCCCCGGGCUCAACCUGGGAAUUGCAUUCGAGACUGCAUUGCUGGAGUACGGAAGAGGAAGGCGGAAUUCCCGGUGUAGCGGUGAAAUGCGUAGAUAUCGGGAGGAACAUCAGUGGCGAAGGCGGACUUCUGGUCCAGUACUGACACUCAAGUGCGAAAGCGUGGGGAGCAAACAGG